This is a non-coding RNA of Arachis ipaensis, 1541 nucleotides long. Lineage: Eukaryota; Viridiplantae; Streptophyta; Magnoliopsida; Fabales; Fabaceae. The record is from RefSeq and is a predicted model, not a curated record.
CAGUAGGAGACAAAGAAGCUUUCUCGGUAAAGAAGACAAAGAAGCUUCCUUCACGGCGCCUUGCCAAGGUCACUGCAGCUUUCGCGCGCGCCUCAUCCAGCCGAGGAGAAGCAUCAGAGAGCGUCACCAUCUUGUGCGUUCCAGAGAGCGUCACCGUCUUUCUCGUUCUUCAUCACCGUCAUAAGCCUCUCCCUUCUAUUGUUGUUAAUUUUGACAAAAUGAAAAACUUAAGUAUCAAUGUGAAAGAUUGUUGCUGGAGCUUCUGGGGUUGCUAUUUUGCCUGGAAUUGGGGUCUCAUUAAGGGAAGUAUUAAUUAAUUGUGUAUUGACUCCUAUUCAAGCGAUUUCAAUGGUAAUUGAAUAUUUGGAUGAGCUUAUUUUGCUUUCUUGAAAAGAAAAAGGAAAAAGAAAAAGAAAAAAAGAAAAAGAAAAAAGAAUCAUAUUUUUUAAUUAACAGAUAUGAUGAAAAGAAGCUUUGAUUAAAAAAAGAAAAAAGGAACUGAUUGUAGGAGUUCUUUAAGCUAUCUAAAGUCUAUAGCUUACUUUAGCAUAUUAGAAGAAUCAUGUUAGUUUAUUCAUUUAUUUUUUUAAUGAACUCUAUUCGGCAUCUUUGAUCCGAGAAGAGCAAGCAAAUACAACAUUAAAAUUUACAUUAUAUGAACAAGCUUUCAUCAAAUCAACCAUUUAUAUAUUGAAACAGUAUAUGGUUUUGAUUGGAAUUGAGUCUCACUGAUGUGAUAGUGGAAACUAUGUCUUAUAUGAACAAUAAAAGAUAGAAAAUAAAUUAAAUGAUAUAUUGAUCUGCAUAAAGCCAUAAACUCAAGAGUCUAUAGUUCAAAUACAAAUUCAUUCCCAAUUUCUCUGAAUUCUUGCAAAACAAUGAACUGCUUGUGUAUUAUUCCCUCUCAUUUUCCCAUCUAUGCUCAUCACUUCACCCCAGUUCUCAUUUGGCUAUGCUCUGAACUUAACAGAAUGAACAUUCAUUUUAUUUCAGAUUUUGGCUUAUUAACAAUGUGUAUUAGUCUUUACUUGUCUUCCCCUUAACAUAGUUUAUUAUGUUUUGAUGUUUCUUCAUGUGUCGUUUAGGAAAAGAAAAUUUAAAAGCUGACUAAUUUUAUGGUUCUCCAGGUCUUUUGCUGAUGGAUUUCCAAAUACUUUUAUAGAAAAUGCAGAAGAGCUCCGAGGUCAACACAUUGCUUUUCUGUGAGAAAGACUUUGAAUUCAGAACUGUGGCAUGCUUGUGCUGGCCCUCUUGUCUCUUUGCCUCAAGUGGGAAGUCUUGUUCAUUACUUUCCCCAGGAACAUAGUGAGCAGGUACAUCUCUUCUUGUGAUAAAAUUUUCAGAUAACUCUUUUUAAAAUUUACUUCGUUAAUACAUAAUUGCAUAUAGCUUUCCUUAUGAAUGUCUCUGUAUGGCCUCUUAUAUGCAUUCAGGAUUUGUCUUAGGUUCUUCUUUGGCAAGUUAGCAAUAACAUAACACAUAGCUAGGACCUGUAUUUUUUAGUGAUGCAGAAUUAUACAGUUCCCUGGUUUCUUUCUUUA